Molecule: small RNA, 56 nt
Filed under: Lepisosteus oculatus (spotted gar)
Lineage: Eukaryota; Metazoa; Chordata; Actinopteri; Semionotiformes; Lepisosteidae
Source: RNAcentral
GACUCCAGUGGUGGCACUCCUGGUCUCCAGGGUGGGGUCCGACUCCCUGAGGGGUC